Molecule: ribosomal RNA, 466 nt
Filed under: uncultured bacterium
Lineage: Bacteria
Description: bacterial SSU rRNA
Rfam family: Bacterial small subunit ribosomal RNA
Source: RNAcentral
AGCCAGACUCCUACGGGAGGCAGCAGUGAGGAAUAUUGGUCAAUGGGCGGAAGCCUGAACCAGCCAAGUCGCGUGAGGGAAUAAGGCCCUACGGGUCGUAAACCUCUUUUGCCGGGGAGCAAGGGCGGGGACGUGUCCCGGCCCGGAGAGUACCCGGAGAAAAAGCAUCGGCUAACUCCGUGCCAGCAGCCGCGGUAAUACGGAGGAUGCGAGCGUUAUCCGGAUUUAUUGGGUUUAAAGGGUGCGUAGGGGGACUGUAGAGUCGGGGGAAAAAGCGGGGGCCACACCCGCGGCGAGCCGUUGAAACUGGCUGUCUUGAGAUGUCGAGAGGUAUGCGGAAUGCGCAGUGUAGCGGUGAAAUGCUUAGAUAUUGCGCAGAACUCCGAUUGCGAAGGCAGCAUACCGGCUCCAUACUGACGCUGAGGCACGAAAGCGUGGGGAUCGAACAGGAUUAGAUACCCCUGUA